UACAGAGGUCUCAAGCGUUGUUCGGAUUCAUUGGGCGUAAAGGGUGCGUAGGUGGUGAUGCAAGUCUGGUGUGAAAUCUCGGAGCUCAACUCCGAAAUUGCACCGGAUACUGCGUGACUCGAGGACUGUAGAGGAGAUCGGAAUUCACGGUGUAGCAGUGAAAUGCGUAGAUAUCGUGAGGAAGACCAGUGGCGAAGGCGAGUCUCUGGACAGUUACUGACACUGAGGCACGAAGGCCAGGGGAGCAAACGGG
Molecule: ribosomal RNA, 253 nt
Filed under: uncultured bacterium
Lineage: Bacteria
Description: partial 16S ribosomal RNA
Rfam family: Bacterial small subunit ribosomal RNA
Source: RNAcentral